CGAACGCUGGCGGCAUGCCUAACACAUGCAAGUCGAACGAGACCUUCGGGUCUAGUGGCGCACGGGUGCGUAACGCGUGGGAACCUGCCCUUAGGUUCGGAACAACUCCCCGAAAGGGGUGCUAAUACCGGAUAAUGUCUUCGGACCAAAGAUUUAUCGCCUUUGGAUGGGCCCGCGUUGGAUUAGCUAGUUGGUAGGGUAAAAGCCUACCAAGGCGACGAUCCAUAGCUGGUCUGAGAGGAUGAUCAGCCACACUGGGACUGAGACACGGCCCAGACUCCUACGGGAGGCAGCAGUGGGGAAUAUUGGACAAUGGGCGAAAGCCUGAUCCAGCAAUGCCGCGUGAGUGAUGAAGGCCUUAGGGUUGUAAAGCUCUUUUACCCGGGAUGAUAAUGACAGUACCGGGAGAAUAAGCUCCGGCUAACUCCGUG
Molecule: ribosomal RNA, 431 nt
Filed under: uncultured bacterium
Lineage: Bacteria
Description: partial 16S ribosomal RNA
Rfam family: Bacterial small subunit ribosomal RNA
Source: RNAcentral